CAUGGGGACACCCCCUGGGACACCCCCCAGGACACCCCUUUAGGGACACGGUGGGGACACCCCCCUGGACACCCCCCCGGGGACACCCCUUGGGGAUUCCCCCCUGGGGACACCAUGGGGACACCCCUUUGGGGACACGGUGGGGACACCCCCUUGGGACAUCAUGGGGACACCCCCCUGGACACCCCCCCCCCAGGGACACCCCCUGGGGACACCCCCCUGGGACAUCCCUUGGGGACACCCCCUUGAGGACACCCCUGGGGACACCCCCCUGGGACACCCCUUUGGGGACACCACCCUUGGGGACACCCCCCUGGGGACAUCACCUUUGGAUAUCCCCUGGGGACCCCCCCCCCGGGGACACCCUUGGGGACACCCCCCUGGGGACAUCACCUUUGGAUAUCCCCUGGAGACCCCCCCCACGGGGACACCCUGGGGACACCGUGGGGACACCCCCCUGGGGACACCUCCUUGGCACACCCCCUUGGGAUACCCCCCCUGGGACGCCCCCCUGGGACACCCUUUUGGGGACACCCCCCCAGGGACACCCCUUGAGGACACCCCGUUGGGGACACCCCUGGGGACACCCCUGGGACACCCCCCUGGGGACACCCCCAGGACACCCCCCCCAGGGACGCCCCCGUCCCUGAGGGGGGUGACGGUGACGGUGACGGUGCCUCCUCUCUCUCUGCUCUCCUCUUGUCCCCGUGUCCUAAAUCGUCCCCGCUCCGUGUCCCCGUCCUUGUCCCCAUCCCUGUCCCCACAUCCCCAUGUCCCCGUCCUUGUCCCCACGUCCCCGUCCUUGUCCCCACGUCCCUGUCCUUGUCCCCAUGUCUCUGUCCCCACGUCCCCAUGUCCCUAUCCUUGUCCCCAUGUCCCCGUCCUUGUCCUCAUGUCCCCAUCCCCACACAUCUGUCCCCAUGUCCCCGUCCUUGUCCCCAUGUCUCUGUCCCCACGUCCCCAUGUCCCUGUCCCCAUCCUCAUCCCCAUGUCCCCACGUCCCUGUCCUUGUCCCCAUCCCUGUCUCCAUAUCCUCACGUCCCCAUCCUCAUCCCCAUAUCCUUGUCCCCAUGUCCCUGUCCCCAUGUCCCCACGUCCCCGUCCUUGUCCCCAUCCUUG
Molecule: long non-coding RNA, 1119 nt
Organism: Anser cygnoides (Swan goose)
Lineage: Eukaryota; Metazoa; Chordata; Aves; Anseriformes; Anatidae
Source: Ensembl